This 67-nucleotide transfer RNA is filed under the name Marmota monax (woodchuck). RNAcentral describes it as "tRNA.Ala". The record is from RNAcentral. Lineage: Eukaryota; Metazoa; Chordata; Mammalia; Rodentia; Sciuridae.
GGUUGUAGCUUGGUGGUAGAGCACUCGCCUAGCACAUGUGAGGCACUGGGUUCGAUUCUCAGCACCA